AUCGAUCAUCUACUCAUCUAGUGCACCUUCUCAAAGAUCACCUAGCAUGAAAUUCUAUCUUGGUGUCGUCUCCGACUGCUCCCGCCCAACGACGAUGCGACCUUGUUCGCUUGGUGGUCGGCCACAUUGCAUGCAUCACCGACGAGCUUGCGAAAGGGCCUCAGCUUCCUCAUCGCCCUUACCGCAUGGUCUAUUUGGAAACAUUGCAACGCCGCCCUCUUCGACAAUCUCCGGCCAUCCAGGGACAAACUUGUCUGCAUUAUCAAUGACGAGGUCUUACUAUGGGCAAGGGCCGGAGCCAAUGGACUUGUUUUCGUGAUCUCUAGUCUAGAAUUAUUGUACCGAGGCUGA
This 351-nucleotide ribosomal RNA is filed under the name Triticum aestivum (bread wheat). RNAcentral describes it as "partial small subunit ribosomal RNA". The record is from RNAcentral. Lineage: Eukaryota; Viridiplantae; Streptophyta; Magnoliopsida; Poales; Poaceae.